UUAAAUUGAAGAGUUUGAUCAUGGCUCAGAUUGAACGCUGGCGGCAGGCCUAACACAUGCAAGUCGAACGGUAACAGGAAUCAGCUUGCUGAUUCGCUGACGAGUGGCGGACGGGUGAGUAAUGUCUGGGAAACUGCCUGAUGGAGGGGGAUAACUACUGGAAACGGUAGCUAAUACCGCAUAACGUCGCAAGACCAAAGAGGGGGACCUUCGGGCCUCUUGCCAUCGGAUGUGCCCAGAUGGGAUUAGCUAGUAGGUGGGGUAACGGCUCACCUAGGCGACGAUCCCUAGCUGGUCUGAGAGGAUGACCAGCCACACUGGAACUGAGACACGGUCCAGACUCCUACGGGAGGCAGCAGU
RNAcentral lists this ribosomal RNA (360 nucleotides) under Escherichia coli. RNAcentral's name for it is "bacterial SSU rRNA". It matches the Rfam family "Bacterial small subunit ribosomal RNA", at positions 1 to 355 of the family's 1533-position model. Lineage: Bacteria; Pseudomonadati; Pseudomonadota; Gammaproteobacteria; Enterobacterales; Enterobacteriaceae. The record is from RNAcentral.